This 72-nucleotide transfer RNA is filed under the name Chloroflexia bacterium SDU3-3. It matches the Rfam family "tRNA". Rfam says of the family: Transfer RNA (tRNA) molecules are approximately 80 nucleotides in length. Their secondary structure includes four short double-helical elements and three loops (D, anti-codon, and T loops). The record is from Rfam by way of RNAcentral. Lineage: Bacteria; Bacillati; Chloroflexota; Chloroflexia.
GGGGCUGUAGUUCAAGGGAAGAACGCCACCAUGUCAAGGUGGAGCGUGGAGGUUCAAGUCCUUCCGGCCCCU